GCACACACACGGUCACCCGGUGUACACCGGUCCGCACACACACGUUCAUAUUCUCUGGAUGGGACAUGAGGCACCUCCUAUACUUUAUUCUUUUCAGAUCAACGGGAGUAGGGGAAAGAGAGGAAGAGUGGAUAGGACGAGGAGAGGAGCAGGGAAUGGAGACCGGCACUUCGGCUAGGGGAGAACCCAGCAGUGUAAACCAUAGAGUCUCGGUCGUUUUAAAGGAAUUUAAAACAAGGCGGCGCCAAGAAGGAUGAGGGAACCAGUCUAGCCAUUGUAGGUGGCGGCGUCCACGCUAAAGUGAGGCCACUCCAGCGAGCUUUAGGAGCCGCCCCAAGCUAGAUGAGCCCCGACCUCGGUGCCGCGGGAGGUUCGGGAGUCGCGUCCGUUCCGUCCACUAUCGGCGGUACCUUUGAGUCUGUCGGUUGGAGUGGCGGGACUACCUCUUCGAGAACAGGUCUAAGCUGCUCCUCUCCCUGAACCGUCUGUUCGCUCGUCUCCGCGUCUGCCGCAAGUUGUGAGUCCAGAGGGUGCUCAACGUCUCGAACAGCUUCGUCUAGCCGGAAUGAGUUCGUCUCCAGCUACUGCACGCAUUCCGACACAGGCGCAGGCGCAGCAGUUGGGGUAGGUGCCCAAGGGUCCACCUGCUAGGUAGCUGCCGCCACGAUGUGUGUGGACGGCACGCCUUGCCCGGAGGUGGUGGUGGUGGGCUAGGCGCGCAGCGUAGAAGCGGUUCGCGGGACGGGUAUGGCGUCUGAUAGCGCCCCAGUCGCGGCGAGCGUGCCGAGUGUUUGCUUCCCGGCGGUGAAGAUAGGUUCGGUCUACUGGUCUAGCCCAACGGCCUCGCCCCCAAAGUCAGUCGUGGUCGCGGUGCCCUCCUCAUGAGGCAGUCCGGUGGGUUUGUAGUAACUACCACAACGGGGGGCACAAACCGACCUAGCAACGAACCGAAUGAAACUCGAGAUGGUACACGGUGUUGUGUUGACCCACCGUUGUAGUCGUGAGAUGCAGCUUCCGGUACGGCGAGAGACCGAAGCCCGGAAGGCAGUCUGCGUAGGUCACUAGUGAACCCUAAACAAAGCGGCCCGUCACCUUCUCCUUAAGCCGGGACUCUUCAAGCUCAGGAGCUACGUACUAAACAACGUCGAAGCUGUCUGUCCGUGUCAGCGUCUCAUGUCCGUCGUUAAACUCCACGUGUACAUGUUGUACUAGCGUGAGCUGCGGUGUAACUCGAGGUUUAAAAAACAGUGGGUUAAAAACGAGCCGGAGUUUCUACUUAACGCUCGGCGCCACGCGUAGGUUCGUGGCUGGUCGUAAUGGUCUCGGUGGCAUAAACGUGCGUAUGUCCUCCUCCUUAACCUGUAAGUCGCGGGAGCGGAUGCUGGGCGAAGACGUCCUGCCGGUGGCGGUGACGGAUCGCACGGUGGCCGCAACCCUGCAGGAGGGGGUUGUGGUAGUCACGGUGGACGGUGAAAUCAUGGGGCGCAGUAAGGCCGUGGAUUCGUUCGGGGCCUGCUGAAGCCCGCGCUCGCCGUCGACGCUCUGAUGUUUGCGGUCGUACCGGAGACAAAAGCAACACCGCUGUUUAUGAGGUCCCAGGUAGUUACGUUUGCGAGUCGCGUCAACGAGUGUUAUCUCCACCCACUAGUACCCCUUCACGAUAGACUGCUUCGGCACGUGCGCGACGUCAAUGACCUACUCGGUCUGCCCCGACGUCUCGGGCGCACGACGGAAGAAAGACGUGUGCGCCACCUUCCGUGCCUUUGUCGCCUUUGGUAAGCGGACGCUCGUUGACACCCAUUGGUCUGCUACGACGACAACCACCUGAGCCCCUCGUGCGUGUCACAACAGUUAAGUUGUAAACGACAGUCUUAACCUCGUUGCUGUUGUGGGUAAGGAAGGUAACGACAUGCCCAUCGGUUACCGGUCGCUGACUUGACGUAUCGGUACCAUGGCGUCGAGGUCACCACGUCAGUCCUUGUGUGUAAGUCGUGUCUAUACGCACACGACCUGAACCCGCAGAUACUACGUCAAGAGCCGCAGCUGACCGAUCGCGUUGUAUCGGGGUACUUCACACUAACCGUCAACUUUUGUUACGUUAAGCUCGCACUACCAUGUCGUCAUGUGGAUGUCCCUCAAUCUAGCCUACUUAGCGGUUGGGAAUGACGAAACCUACGACGAAGAGAAACCGUUUACGUACUACGUUUGCUCUAAACCCCCCGACGAAAUUAUCUUGAGGUUUACCGCGGUUAUGGUCUAAGGCGUUGUCGAGUUGGUGGUGGUCAACACUAGGUUGCGUAAGAUUGCCUCAAGUCACUACAGAAACGACUUGGAUGUCCUAAUGGAGGGGCGGCAGUUAUGCUGGUACGAUAGUGAGAUCUUGGCCCCCGGUGUGGUUAGUUGACAGCGGGCAUGGCAAUAAGAGGCAACGUCUUUCUGCUCUAUCUCGCAGUCCAAUGCCUUUACGACACCUGUCCCUAGUAAUGAGUAUCAUACUCAGGGAUGCGGCGAGGACAUGAGGACCACUUUUUCUUCCUACCUUGGACCGCGAAGACGCAUCUAAUGUCUGCGGACUUGUACCACUGGUAGUUUUUGUCUAAAGGGGAAGGGUAGUAGCUGCUCGAUGAUCUACUUGAACGACCGCGGCGGAAGAAAAGGUUCUAGCUAGACACUCGACCUAUGGUAGUCUAGGCAUACUUUUUUCCGCUGCUCCUCUUUUGACGUAAGUUUUGCGUAGUGCCGGUAAAACUCAAGGCACAGUACGGUAAACCCCAGUGGUUGCCUGGUGGGUGUAAGGUUACACAGUAUUUGAGCCACAAGAGGCCUGGUUUAGCAUUCAAGCAGUAAUGAAAAGAGCUACUGUAGAACCACAAGUCGGCAAGAGACGUCCUCGUACAACUAGUAGACGCGUGGCAGAAGAGGUAAGACGCUGUUGUAGUUGACAUACGGUUUGUUAGGUUCACGAGGAAGCGUGUCGGGUCGUAACUCAUGGAGCCCGUACAAUAAAGGUCUCUCCCGCACCGUUGACUAUUCUCGUUCUGAUCACGGUACAGACGCACCGGCUGUGGCUGUUUACGGUGACUUGAGGCCCCAAAAGACCCAAACUGUCCGAUAAUGGCGUUCAAACACUUCUUGAUACCCUAAGAACGGUUCGGUAACUGAGUUAACGAGUGAUUCUUUCCUAAGUCAACCUGUCUAGUUCGAGUUCGCCGCAAGCUGGAGGAGUUUGUUCGUUACCACUUGUGGGGUCACGAUAGAGACGGACUAAAGUUGGCGGGCAAGAGGUAGCUCUGCCUACGCACACUAUGCCCACACCCGCGACAGGAUCAUGUUCUUCCGGUGGGACAGCGGAUGAAUUCGUUCCGAGACCCGUGUGCGUUAGUUGCGGCAAGGUAAAUGCUCUUUCUUAAGGAACGCCACUAGUACCGCUAUCUGUCCACCGCGCGGAUGGAUGUUGCCCGUGGUAAGCAGUAGCAGUGCCUAGUAUUCUCGAACACGUCGAACCCCCUCGUUGUCAACCUGUGGCUCAAUGUCGCGCCACAACUGUUACCACGGCGUCUACGUAACAGAGCGCAGCCCGUAGAAGAAAGGGAGCUACGGUAGAGGCACACGGUUGGUGUCACCGACGUUCUUCAGCGCUUGAGUAUGCUCUGCCUGCGACUGCGGGUUCUAGACGACGUUGCCAACCGACAGAAGUCAGGCCUACUCGUGCCGAUGCUCGAGUCCGUUCCGCACUAGGCGGAAGUCCUGGCCGAGACCUAACCACGGUUGUGGCGUGAGGUCUGGUUUGAUUAGUCACGAAAGGUACGGUCGCGUUAACCCCCAGUGAGACCUCAGUGCCGGUGUAUAGUCGCGGAGUUCUUCGAUAAACGGACCGCCCCGGAGUUCGUCCGGCACCUCCUUAAGCACGUGGUCAAACGGCAAACGGUUGUGCGGUUCGUGCUCGUAUAGUUCGGUGGGCCUGACGACGUUGGAGACGGGUAGGGAUGUCUCGGCACCGUACUGGAGUGGUGCCUGAAGUAGCUUCCAAACGGUGACAGACUCCCGACACUCCACUAGUACCAGCAACAACUGGCCAAGUGAUUCAUGCGCGUAAAACACGGGAACGCAGUGGGGAAGUGUCGUCGUUGUCACCGCGCACGUAAGACCCUGUCGUAGUAGUUCGAUGUGCCCCACGGUGUGAGCUAACGGAGCCUAGCGCUAGGAUAGAAGUGGUCGUUUUACACCGCACGAGAGGUGCUGCGGCGGCCGUGGUUCGAGUCAAUGAGCUGUCGUAUAGUGGGAGUCUGCCUACCUGUCUCGCUCGUGCAGUUAGUCACGGAGCUCUACAUAGACGCUACACGCCACGUACUGUUAGGGUUCGUCACCGCUUUCACCGACAGGUGCCGACUCAAGACCAUGUUAUGGUGGAUAGUGAGUAGCGAUUUGUGUUGUGGCAAGGUCCGUGAGAUGCCGUUUCUUGGGUUGGACCCACCAGAUGGAUGAAACCGGUGGUCCAACGGGCGCCUACGUUCGUGGCUCGACCUGACCCGUUGAGUGUCACCGACCGAGGCACUAGUUUACCGCGCCCGAGUUUUGUCCACGUUCGUUUUCUGACUAGCGUUAGCAUGUCUCGCAAGGAAGCUUCACCCACUAAGUCACGACGAGUUCGAAGUCGGUAUAUGUGUCAGUUGUCACCGAUUGGCGGGCAUGGGGUUUAACCGCAUGUUCAAGAAACCAGGUAAAGUCUAAGACCUUGCGUAACCAGGAAACCGAAUGUUCGAGGUCAACGGCCUGCUGUCAGCGUAUGUGGGUCAAAAAGUACAGAGCGUCGAGUUCGGGAAGUGAGGCCUGAUGUCAGGUCAAAAGAGUCUCGAUGGGGCACGUGGCUUGGAGUGUCGCCGUGGCCAUGUUGGAUAACGGUAAGAGCUUGCAGCGUACCACUUCUUUCCGUUGUUGAGUUAACACGUCCAGUUUCAAGUCACCAGAAGCAAUCGAGGACUUAGGGGCUGGACCCUCCUAAUAAGACACGAGGCAGUCGCGAUGGGCCUCCGUUCGACAACCCUACUUCUGCGAGCGCGAGUUCCCCUCCGUUUACAGUGUGGACUAUGUACUCAUAGCCACCUGGACCUUCCACUUUAUCUAUCUUUCCCCACUCGCACACACACGGUCACCCGGUGUACACCGGUCCGCACACACACGUUCAUAUUCUCUGGAUGGGACAUGAGGCACCUCCUAUACUUUAUUCUUUUCAGAUCAACGGGAGUAGGGGAAAGAGAGGAAGAGUGGAUAGGACGAGGAGAGGAGCAGGGAAUGGAGACCGGUACUUCGGCUAGGGGAGAACCCAGCAGUGUUUACUGGAGCGAUUCUACGUCGCGUUCUUUAGAGGUAGUUUAGCCGUUGGUACUUAGCUCGGGGUGCGAAAAGGAAAGAGUCGAUUCUAGGAUAUUGACUUUGGAGACAAGUACUUACAAUUCUAUGGAUGGACUUUUCCAGGUUUACGUUAGUGUACGGAAGAAAGGGACUACUAAACAGUAAUCGUGACUAUUCCACGUGCUACUAAGUAAUGAAGGUGGUCGGUCACCCGAUAUGUAGACAUUCCCAAGUUUGCAGGUACGUUCCAAUCACCCAGACCUCUCACGUCGUGGCUUCUUUACGUACGCAAAAAGUCUACUAGACAGAGAUGUCACCCAUGAGGUCCACAGGAAUUAAAACGACAAACCUAGAAUCACAACUUUAUUAGAGUUUUCGGUUUGACCCAAUCAACCCACGUUACCGUUUUUUCCGUUUGUAUUACAAAGUUCGUGUAAAUAGAACUGAGGGUACGGUCCUCUUAGAAGACAACGAUGCGAGGUUUAUAGCUACGGUUGAAUCGAUUAGUUGGUCUUCGUUGGACUCGAUUCUUGUAGGUUUCUAGAGGUUGGUUUGAACCGUGGAUAUUUAUUAGGAGUACUACCUUAUGAACUAGGGUAGUCAAAGUCGUGGUGGUCGUGUAUGAUUCUCACGUGUUUACCGAAGGUAACACGGGGAAAAGAGAGAUGACAGUAAUAAGAACACAACACAAGAACGGUUCUUUCUGUACUUUCACCGGGGAAACUGUUUAACCAGACUAGUAUCUCUGGCUAGAGAUGUCAGUUUAGUACAAAAGUCACACGAGUCUAUACCCCGAAUGCCCCUACCUGCGGUGCUGCUGUGUUUCCGUAACAGUUUCCGCACCCGACGUCGAACGAGGAGAAACUUAGGAUCGUGACACGAGUAGGGGUUCCCGUUCUUUACGGAUUGCUUCGUACAUUGGAAGAGACCGGGUACGUUUAGGUCAUAGUUCAAUUACCACUCUAUCUACUUAUUGUUAUUGUACGUAUGUAAUAAAAGAAGGUAGUUUAAAACGUUUGUUUCUACUGUUCAAGAUGUUUAAGGUCUAACUUCCAUGAAACCAUCGAGGAGGUUUCUCUAGUAUGACCUAUCUCCUAUGGUAAUCCGUGACCUAAAACAAGUCUAGACACUCUCCAGAAUGACAGUGGCCACCACCCUGGUAACUACCUUUACCUUUCUAAACCACCGUCUUGAGGACGUUUCAUUUGUGUUUUGAGGGAACGUCCGUUCGAGGUUGCCGAAACUGCAAGAUAAGAACAUGUUUAGACUUUCACUUAUUAAAUCUUCACAACUUGUCGGUUGUUUAGGUGUAUAGUUACCUCGCAACGUCGCUACAUUCCUACAGUGCGGAUAGUUAGUCUCGUGGACCGUGAUCGGGGUUGUGGCUGCCUUAGGUAUAGCGGGUAUCAUUCCUACACUUUCAGUACCUGACACGUUAGUUCUGACCCCUGCUGACGUACAGUUAGCUCCUACCCUGACUCUUAGAUGUACAGUUCUUGUAGCACACACCUGGUCCCGUACCCUAUUCGUAACCCUCGAAUCCACUAGCGUUGAGAGUUCGAGUUCAACGUUUGUAGUGGUAACUGCCCCACGCUGACGUGCUGUGCUGUUUACCUCGAGCAUAGUUCUGUACCGUCCCGCCCGCCCCAAUACGUUUCUUAUAGCACAAGUUCUUGUACUAUUACCUAUUACAUGUCUUGGGCUAGUAAUAGCUGGUCUUGAUGACACUGAGCCGAUGUGGUACAUUAUUUGUCUUUCGCCGACACCUCCACUCGUUACACAACAAAUUCUUGUAAUCCCCUUGUUCACGGAGUUCUCUCCGAUAGUUCGAGUCAACGUCAUUUCGACAUGGAACGGUACCCUAUCGGAACGUGUUGCAGUUCGAAUGAGAUUUUGCUCCCCCACCACUACGUUUCUCGUGGACAGUCUUACGUUUUACCUCCUUUAACCCUUGUCAAUACGGUGUCGGUACAUCAGAGUUGCUAACUUUU
This 7343-nucleotide ribosomal RNA is filed under the name Triticum aestivum (bread wheat). RNAcentral describes it as "partial small subunit ribosomal RNA". The record is from RNAcentral. Lineage: Eukaryota; Viridiplantae; Streptophyta; Magnoliopsida; Poales; Poaceae.